RNAcentral lists this long non-coding RNA (304 nucleotides) under Mytilus galloprovincialis (Mediterranean mussel). Lineage: Eukaryota; Metazoa; Mollusca; Bivalvia; Mytilida; Mytilidae. The record is from RNAcentral.
CUUCAUCUACGGCUUUGUUCGUCUUUAGUGUUUCCAAAGAUAAAAGUUCGUCUUCUACUUUAAGUUCAAAAGUUCUCAGCCCCAGGAAAACUUCCAGAUCAGUUGCGACAUUAAUAGCAGUUUCCAAUUCCUCCUGCAGGAUGCUCAUGUGGUAUUUAUGAACAUCUAAAUCCUGUAAAAGAUUAGAUUACGUGCGAUGCCAUCGUAUCUUUCAAACAUUGUUCCAUUUCAUCCAACUUGUCGUUGAUUAAUUUGCGGACACUUUGAAUUUCCUCAAUACAUGAUAAUUGCUGUAAAUUUAUUC